RNAcentral lists this transfer RNA (541 nucleotides) under uncultured cyanobacterium. RNAcentral's name for it is "partial contains 16S ribosomal RNA, 16S-23S ribosomal RNA intergenic spacer, and 23S ribosomal RNA". The stretch from base 213 to 285 matches the Rfam family "tRNA". The record is from RNAcentral. Lineage: Bacteria; Bacillati; Cyanobacteriota.
CAGGGAGACAACAAAAUGUUUUAUAUCAAUUAUUUUGUCACCUUAGGUCGAUCGGUAUCUCACAUUCUUAAAUAAUUAAGAAUUUUAUUUCCUAAGUUUUUCUAGGUCACACCCAUUAUUUUUCCUGGGCCAUUAGCUCAGGUGGUUAGAGCGCACCCCUGAUAAGGGUGAGGUCCCUGGUUCAAGUCCAGGAUGGCCCAUAUCUCUAUGUUGGGGGUAUAGCUCAGUUGGUAGAGCGCCUGCUUCGCAAGCAGGAUGUCAGCGGUUCGAGUCCGCUUACCUCCACUGAUUACCACCUCUUCCAUAAUUUGAAGAAGGGAAAUGUUUUGAGUUGUGAUCAAAUACUGAAAGAAUCUAGCUUCCUAAUGAAAUCAUUAAGAUGCUGGACUCAUUGAAUUAAUUUCAUUGUUUUCAGAGAACCUUGACAACUGCAUAGAUUAUUUUUAAAGACAAUAAGCAUCUUUAAUGAUGCAGAUUGAUUAUUUGUGCGAAUGCAUUAAUAACAAUUCUAUUAAGCUGAUGCUUCAAUUUUGAGGUUAUU